AUUAUUUCCAUCCACAUUUGGCAUAUGAUGCUCGGUAGAGAAAUCUUUUCUAUAAAUGUUGUAAUUAAUACAUUUACUUUUCUUUCCUAAUGUGUUAUAAUGUUAUCAAUACUAUUAAAGCAGAAUAUUUAAUAGGAUUAUACCCUUAAAUUGUUAUGUUAUUUACAAGUUAUGUCAUUGCCAUAUUUUUGCAUAAAACAAUUUAUUAAUUUCAACCAUAAAAUGAACCAAUCGUUUUGCAGUAUUUGCUACCCAAUAGAAUUUCAACAUUUAUUAAUAUUUCCUAUAUCACAAAAUCAUUCGAAAAAUUAACCACCCCUAAAUAUUCUCCUCUAUUAAAUAUCCCAUAUAUUCUCUUUUCCUUAUUUUGCAUAUAAUGUAAGUUAAAAACUUACCUAGAACAAAAAAAUCUUUUGAAAACAACAUCAGAUUCAACUUGGCCCAUUAAGUUUGUUGUAAUCCAUGUUAGCAACAAACUCUAAUUCAUGACAAACUAAUUAAAUUAUUUCCAAUUUUAUUAAUCUUAAUGUUUUUAGUUAUAUCAUAGAAACUUUGGAUUACCAAAAGCUUUUGAAAUGUAUAUAUAGUUUUUAACAACAAAAAUGUAUCACAAUCCUUUAUUAAAUGUCAUAUCAAAAUUCAAAACUUCACAAUCUCAUUUAUGCCAUAAAUAAACUUUCUUUCAUUUGCAAAAAGAAAAAGUCUAUUGAAGGAAAGAACUUAUAAUUUACAUUACUUGGUUCAAUUCUUUUAAAAACCAUUGUACUAUAAAAUUUACAAAGUUUGUUUUGUUGUAAUGAAAACAUAUAAUAUGGAAAAAAUUAUAGUAUAGACCUAAGAAAGUUUUUGUCACAAAUAUAGAUCUUAAAAAUAAAAAUGAUCAAAAUAUGUUUUAUCAAAAGAAGUAAAUAUAUAUUUAUAUCCCUAAGGUUAAUUAAUCUAAACAUUAGGGUUUAGAGUUAAGGGGUAAAGUUUAGGGUUUAAGGUUUAGAGUUUAGGGUUUAGGGUUUAGAGUUGAAGAGUGGGGUUUUGGGGAUAUGACUUCAAAUUUUUAAAAUAAAAAAAUUUAAAAUUUUCAAAAUAAAAAAAUAUUAUUUUGGUCAUUUUAGUUUUUGAAGUCUAUUUUUGUAACAAAAACUUAAAAAUGUCUAUAUGAAGAAUUGCUCUAUAAUAUGUCAACAAACUUUUUAAUUAAUCAACAUAAACAUUCAUGCGUUUUUAAAGAGCUGAUCAAAAUCUAAAAUCUAGUUAUCUAGAUUAAAAAGGAACAGUUUAGGUGAUGAGUAGUUUGGAAAAUUCUCUUACUGGAACAUUCUGGUCUCUAAACACAGCACAAAGCUAACCGUACCGUAACAAAGGAAUUCAUAAUUAUUGGGUUAGGGAGAAGUCUCUUUUAACAGAUGAUUUUCGUUGACUAUAAAGAUUUCUUCUUAUCGAAAUCUUUGUAAUUUGCACUAAUCCACACGAAAAAUAUAUGGAGCUUUUCAUGUGUUUUCUUGAAAGAAAGUGGGGGCAGAGAGCUUUACCUCGGGAUUCUGAGUCCUGAAAAAAACAUAUCAAGCUAUCUAGCUGUAUGGAACUUUUUUCCCGUACAAUCUAUAGGCAUACUUGUGUGUUCUUUUGUUGUUCUUGUUGGAUAAAAGGUCAACAUUGUUUACCUACCUUUUAUUUCCUUGGCCGGUUGGGUCCAUUUUUUUAAGUUAGGUAACUGUGUUUUUCUUCUUGGUCUUAUAUUUUAUCAUUUAUGUCGAUUCUUGGUCGUUAACUUGGUGGAUAUUCAAAUUGUUUUCUGUUCUUUGGUGUCUACUUAUUGACUAUGGGUAUGGGGGGUAACCAAAGAUUUACAGCUGUCUUGACCUUGCUCUGAUUUAAUAGUUUUCUUUAGGCUGUAAAUGUUGUUGUUGGUGGUGAGAUAUAUCCACAUAUCCACUAUUAUACAGUGGUUUGAUACUUUGUUAUCUUAGUAUCAGCACUUUUGGUUGAAAUGACCAAUUAAUCACUAUGUUUGGAAGUAUCCAAGUCUGGGAUGGACAAAUACAUUAACGUCCUGAAACUAGGAAGUUAACGUAGACCAAACUGUUUCAUUGCACAAUAGGAAUAUAGAUACUUGGCUAAAAACAACAAAUUCGUAAAUGGUGCACUUGUUUGUUGGAUUUUAACUCAGAAAGUGAGAACUUUGUUUCAAGUUAUGUUAUGCUUUAUAGAUUUGAAGAUUUUUCUUCUUUUUUUUUGCAACACAAGUUGUUCAUAAAUCAUCCACUUGUCGUUUGAUUUUAACUCAAAAUAUAUAGUUGAUAUUGGUUUAAAGUCUCAAGAUUUUCCUCUCUCGGAAACAGGUGGUAUGGAAGAUGGAUGACCAUACACAUAUCUUAUCACUCCUGAAUCAGAGUGUAUCCACUGAUUUGUCAUGUUUAGUCAAAGUGGUGAAACGUAAGUUGACUUCCCUUAUGAUAGUUUACUUUGCUUUGCCAAUAUAAUCCCUUAUAAGAUCUUUAUUUCUGUGAUCCAAACUAUCCCACGUUUAUAUUAUGCUUCAAGUUAUUGUAUGGAUGUUUAGUUUCUAAGAUGACAUGGUUUGGUUUCAGGGUAGAGGCGAAACUUCUUGAGAAAGAUAACUUUAAACUAGAGAAAGAAUCUUAAUAAUAAUGAGGCCUUUGUCACACAAUAUAUUCCAGAGAUAAUAGUUUGCAAGUUGCCAAUAAAUUUUGCAAGUAGGCAUAGCACUACUGAUAUUCUCAUCGUCACUAUUCUUCAAAACCGACCCUGGUUGGUUGUUUUGAGCAAGAUGCUAGCAUAUUCUGAUUCUUACUUUCUCACUCUGAAUAAUUACAUCAGUAAAGAUUUGAUCAGGGUUUUAUUCCAUUGUUAACAUCUUUUGAUGUAAAAAUUCUAGCCCCAGUGAUCAUUGCUGAGAAUUUACCAGGAGGACCUUCUAAGGAAUGUGUAUGAAAAGGAAGGUAAAAGACAAGAAUUCUUUUGGGCUACAAAUUUCCUGUUGAAAUUUGGAAUCAUUAUCCACAAAUCUAUCCCAAAAAAAACAAGAAGUAUUCUUAUUCCUCUCCAAGUGGUUGCUCCUUUAGCAACUUGGAGAACCCGAACAUGAAGUAAUCACUUGGUUCCUCUAUAAUGGAAGUUUCUGUAGCUCAUGUUCAAGAUGUGUGUUCAAGUAUCAGUACUGCACAAACUUGAGGAAUUUAUUUUCCAGCCUAGUGGUGAGAUAUUAUUAUCACCAAAGGAAUGAUCCCUUUACAAAUUGGGAUUCGGACAAACUUUACUCAAAAGAAGUUUAUCACUAAGAA
Molecule: long non-coding RNA, 3299 nt
Organism: Brassica napus (rape)
Lineage: Eukaryota; Viridiplantae; Streptophyta; Magnoliopsida; Brassicales; Brassicaceae
Exons: 2
Source: RefSeq, a predicted model, not a curated record